Molecule: ribosomal RNA, 530 nt
Filed under: uncultured delta proteobacterium
Lineage: Bacteria; Deltaproteobacteria
Description: bacterial SSU rRNA
Rfam family: Bacterial small subunit ribosomal RNA
Source: RNAcentral
GACUAGAGUUUGAUCCUGGCUCAGAGCGAACGUUAGCGGCGCGCCUAACACAUGCAAGUCGCACGAGGUAGCAAUACCUAGUGGCGCACGGGUGCGUAACACGUAGAUAACCUGCCCUAAGGAGGGGGAUAACGUUCCGAAAGGAGCGCUAAUACCGCAUAACACUGCGUCCAGUUCGCUGGAUGCAGGCAAAGGCUGGGACCGGCAACGGCCAGUCGCCAUAGGAGGGGUCUGCGGCCCAUCAGCUAGUUGGUGAGGUAAUGGCUCACCAAGGCAGAGACGGGUAGCUGGUCUGAGAGGAUGAUCAGCCACACUGGUACUGGAACACGGACCAGACUCCUACGGGAGGCAGCAGUGGGGAAUCUUGGUCAAUGGGCGCAAGCCUGAACCAGCGACGCCGCGUGAGUGAUGAAGGCCUUCGGGUUGUAAAGCUCUGUGGGGAGGGACGAAAGACUGAGGUCUAAUAGGCUUCAGGUUGACGGUACCUCCUUAGCAAGCACCGGCUAACUCUGUGCCAGCAGCCGCGGUAA